Molecule: ribosomal RNA, 1961 nt
Filed under: marine metagenome
Description: bacterial LSU rRNA
Rfam family: Bacterial large subunit ribosomal RNA
Source: RNAcentral
UAGUACCGUGAGGGAAAGGUGAAAAGAACCCCGAGAGGGGAGUGAAAUAGAACUGAAACCAUAAACCUACAAACCGUGGGAGCUUGUAUUUAUAUGAGUGACCGCGUGCCUAUUGAAGAAUGAGCCAACGAGUUACUUGGUACGGCAAGAUUAAGAAGUUAAGCUUUGAAGUCGAAGCGAAAGCAAGUCUGAAUAGGGCGAAUUAGUCGUGUCAAGUAGACCCGAAACCGUGUGAGCUACCUAUGGCCAGGUUGAAGCGAGAGUAAAAUCUUGUGAAGGACCGAACCCGUGUACGCUGCAAAGUGCUGGGAUGAGCUGUGGGUAGAGGUAAAAUGCCAAACGAACACGGAGAUAGCUGGUUCUCUCCGAAAUGUAUUUAGGUACAGCGUUAUGUAAUACUUCAUGGAGGUAGAGCACUGGAUAGACUAGGGGGCGCAAGCUUACCAAACCUAACCAAACUCCGAAUACCAUGAAGGGUAUCAUAGCAGUGAGACUGUGGGGGAUAAGCUCCAUUGUCGAAAGGGAAACAGCCCAGAUCGCAAGUUAAGGUCCCUAAGUAUAUGCUAAGUGUUAAACGAAGUAGGGUCGCCCAGACAGCCAGGAGGUUGGCUUAGAAGCAGCCAUCCUUUAAAGAGUGCGUAAUAGCCCACUGGUCAAGGGGCCCCGCACGGAAAAUAAACGGGGCUAAGCAUAUCACCGAGACUGCGGGAUCUAUUUAUAGAUCGGUAGGAGAGUGUCGUUAAAGCAUUGAAGCUAAGCUGUAAGGCUUGGUGGAGUUUUAACAAGUAAGAAUGUUGGCAUGAGUAGCAAAAAUGCCGGUGAGAAUCCGGCAGGCCGUAAGUCUAAGGAUUCCUACGCAACGUUGAUCGGCGUAGGGUUAGUCGGUCCUAAGGCGUAUCCGAAAGGAAAAGUCGAUGGACAGCUGGUGAAUAUUCCAGCACCUAUAAUUAAUUGUUUGAGUCAAAGGGGUGACGCAGAAAGAUAAACAGAGCAUACGUAUUGGACAUCGUGUGUUUUUGCCUGUAGAUGAGUAGAGAAGGUUAAAAUAUUUUCUACGUUUGAAUUGAGGGGUAAGAAAACUAUGAGGUUCGCCUCGUAGAAUUCUGUCGACUCUAAACUGCCAAGAAAAGCCUCGUUGAUUAGAUUUUUCAUAGACCGUACCGCAAACCAACACAGGUAGACAGGGAUAAACGUCCCAAGGCCAUCGAGAGAACCAUCGUUAAGGAACUCGGCAAAUUGACCCCGUAACUUAGGGAGAAGGGGGACCUUUUGUGUAUAUGAGUUUACCUCAAAAAGCAUGGAAGGUAGCAUAAAAUAGGCUGAAGCGACUGUUUACCAAAAACACAGGUCCAUGCCAAAGCGAAAGCUGAUGUAUAUGGGCUGACGCCUGCCCAGUGCCGGUAGGUUAAGGAAAGUUGUGCAAGCAACUGACUGAAGCCCCGGUGAACGGCGGCCGUAACUAUAACGGUCCUAAGGUAGCGAAGUCCCUUGUCGGGUAAGUUCCGACCCGCACGAAUGGCGUAACGACUUCAGCACUGUCUCAACGAUGGACUCGGUGAAAUUGCAGGACCGGUAAAGAUGCCGGUUACGCGCAGCAGGACAAAAAGACCCCGUGGAGCUUUACUGCAACUUGGCAUUGGUUCGAGUUUUAAAAUGUGUAGGAUAGGCGGGAGACUUUGAACUCUAGGCGUUAGCCUAGGGGGAGUCGCCCUUGAAAUACCGCCCUUUUUAUGAUUUGGACCUAACACUUUUGGACAGUGUCUGGUGGGCAGUUUGACUGGGGCGGUCGCCUCCCAAAGAGUAACGGAGGCGUACAAAGGUCACCUCAGGCUGGAUGGAAAUCAGCUUUUGAGUGCAUUGGCAUAAGGUGGCUUGACUGCGAGACAUACAAGUCGAGCAGGGACGAAAGUCGGUCAAAGUGAUCCCACGGUUCCGAGUGGAAGGGCCGUGGCUUAACGGAU